CAGCAGUGAGGAAUAUUGGACAUUGGCGCAAGCCUGAUCCAGCCAUGCCGCAUGCAGGAUGACGGUCCUAUGGAUUGUAAACUGCUGUUAUACAGCAAGAAACCAUACCACGUGUGGUAGAUGGACGGUAGUGUAGGAAUAAGGAUCGGCUAACUCCAUGCCAGCAGCCGCGGUAAUACGAAGGAUCCAAGCGUUAUCCGGAAUCAUUGGGUUUAAAGGGUCCGUAGGCGGUUUAAUAAGUCAGUGGUGAGAGCCCAUCGCUUAACGAUGGAACGGCCAUUGAUACUGUUAGACUUGAAUUAUAAGGAAGUAACUAGAAUAUGUAGUGUAGCGGUGAAAUGCUUAGAUGUACAUGGAAUACCAAUUGCGAAGGCAGGUUACUACUAAUAAUUGACGCUGAUGGACGAAAGCGUGGGGAGCGAACAGGAUUAUGAUACCCUGGUAGUCCACGCCGUAAACGAUGGAUACUAGCUGUUGGGAGCAAGCUCAGUGGCUAAGCGAAAGUGAUAAGUAUCCCACCUGGAGU
This 526-nucleotide ribosomal RNA is filed under the name uncultured Bacteroidota bacterium. Its description in RNAcentral is "bacterial SSU rRNA". It matches the Rfam family "Bacterial small subunit ribosomal RNA", at positions 349 to 879 of the family's 1533-position model. Lineage: Bacteria; Pseudomonadati; Bacteroidota. The record is from RNAcentral.